AUUGAACGCUGGCGGCAGGCCUAACACAUGCAAGUCGAGCGGAUGAAGGGAGCUUGCUCCUGGAUUCAGCGGCGGACGGGUGAGUAAUGCCUAGGAAUCUGCCUGGUAGUGGGGGAUAACGUCCGGAAACGGGCGCUAAUACCGCAUACGUCCUGAGGGAGAAAGUGGGGGAUCUUCGGACCUCACGCUAUCAGAUGAGCCUAGGUCGGAUUAGCUAGUUGGUGGGGUAAAGGCCUACCAAGGCGACGAUCCGUAACUGGUCUGAGAGGAUGAUCAGUCACACUGGAACUGAGACACGGUCCAGACUCCUACGGGAGGGCGCAGUGGGGAAUAUUGGGCCAUGGGCGAAAACCUGAUCCAACCAUGCCGCGUGUGUGAAGAAGGUCGUCGGAUUGUAAAGCACUUUAAGUUGGGAGGAAGGGCAGUAAGUUAAUACCUUGCUGUUUUGACGUUACCAACAGAAUAAGCACCGGCUAACUUCGUG
This 484-nucleotide ribosomal RNA is filed under the name uncultured bacterium. Its description in RNAcentral is "partial 16S ribosomal RNA". It matches the Rfam family "Bacterial small subunit ribosomal RNA", at positions 30 to 507 of the family's 1533-position model. The record is from RNAcentral.